Molecule: ribosomal RNA, 450 nt
Filed under: uncultured bacterium
Lineage: Bacteria
Description: partial 16S ribosomal RNA
Rfam family: Bacterial small subunit ribosomal RNA
Source: RNAcentral
GUGGGGAAUAUUGGACAAUGGGCGAAAGCCUGAUCCAGCCAUGCCGCGUGUGUGAAGAAGGUCUUCGGAUUGUAAAGCACUUUAAGUUGGGAGGAAGGGUAGUAACCUAAUACGUUGCUACUUUGACGUUACCGACAGAAUAAGCACCGGCUAACUUCGUGCCAGCAGCCGCGGUAAUACGAAGGGUGCAAGCGUUAAUCGGAAUUACUGGGCGUAAAGCGCGCGUAGGUGGUUCAGUAAGUUGGAGGUGAAAUCCCCGGGCUCAACCUGGGAACUGCCUCAAAAACUGCAUGACUAGAGUACGGUAGAGGGUAGUGGAAUUUCCUGUGUAGCGGUGAAAUGCGUAGAUAUAGGAAGGAACACCAGUGGCGAAGGCGACUACCUGGACUGAUACUGACACUUAGGUGCGAAAGCGUGGGGAGCAAACAGGAUUAGAAACCCGUGUAGUCC